Molecule: long non-coding RNA, 299 nt
Organism: Gasterosteus aculeatus aculeatus (three-spined stickleback)
Lineage: Eukaryota; Metazoa; Chordata; Actinopteri; Perciformes; Gasterosteidae
Source: Ensembl
CGAACGUCGGUCGGCGUCGCCCCGGCGUGCGACUGGCUUCCCUCGUGCACGGCGCCAUUUGUUAUGACUUCUGGUUCCUCGGAGAAGCAAACAGCCGAACUCGAUCCGCCGCGGAGAAUCAACAAGGCGGGCGGAAAAAAGGUAGCCGCGUGCUCAGCGGAGUGUGAGCCGCUACACCUGUCCUCCCCUCGGGGAGGCGCGACGCAUUUGCCAGCUGGCGCGGCGCGGCCGGCGACAAAAGGAGCCGGACAGAUUGGGCGAGCGGCGGGACGUCGGGGACGAGCAGAAGAAGACGCGGC